RNAcentral lists this long non-coding RNA (731 nucleotides) under Populus tremula. RNAcentral's name for it is "long non-coding RNA (PTRE_LNC001231)". Lineage: Eukaryota; Viridiplantae; Streptophyta; Magnoliopsida; Malpighiales; Salicaceae. The record is from RNAcentral.
UGAAAUUAGAAGAAUUAAUAAGUUUGUAGACUUAAUUAAACUUUGAUUUAAUUAAUUAAAUAAAUUCAGAGACUUAAUUGAAAGUAAUCCAAGGGUAAAAUUAAAAAUUUAUUUGAUUAAGGGACCUAAUUGAUACAUUUCAAAACACCAGGGACCAAACUACAAUUUGUCAUUUUUCAUGCCAAAUGACGUCGUUUUGGGUUGUACUGUUCAUCAUCUGCUGGCUGAAGACCGAUUCAACAUGGGAGAAAAUCCGGCAGAUCAUUCCAGCAAAUCACAGUCGCGACACCACGAUCUCUUGCACACGAUCCCGCUCAUGGAUUGAUUAACAGGGGAACUAGUUUCUUCAUGCUCUCUGGCUCUAUAAAGGCAGAGCAGAGCAGAGGCAAGGGGAGGCAAAAAAAAAAAAACAAAACCCCAAGCGGGAUAGAGGAACGAGCAGGGGAAACCGGAGAAAGGCCUCAGCAACAGGGGGAUUUUGGGGGGGACUGAAAACGAGAGAGAAGGCCACGAACCAGUGGGGAGAACACUGGGGAAACAGAAGAGAAAAUCAACCCAAAAGCAGAGACAAAAACAGAGCAAAUCACAGAAAAGAAACAGAGCAUAAAACAAUUAAUCCUCUGUAAGGAAUUCACCGAACACGUUUUCUAAUCAUCAGAAGGAUCUAGAUUCUAUCGACCUUCCAACAAAAGAGGAAAAGGUGAAAACAAAUUAAAAUUGCAUAAAACAAA